This 571-nucleotide ribosomal RNA is filed under the name uncultured bacterium. RNAcentral describes it as "bacterial SSU rRNA". It matches the Rfam family "Bacterial small subunit ribosomal RNA", at positions 915 to 1482 of the family's 1533-position model. The record is from RNAcentral.
GGGGGCCCGCACAAGCGGCGGAGCAUGCGGAUUAAUUCGAUGCAACGCGAAGAACCUUACCAAGGCUUGACAUGAACCGGAAAUACCUGGAAACAGGUGCCCCGCUUGCGGUCGGUUUACAGGUGGUGCAUGGUUGUCGUCAGCUCGUGUCGUGAGAUGUUGGGUUAAGUCCCGCAACGAGCGCAACCCUCGUUCUAUGUUGCCAGCGCGUUAUGGCGGGGACUCAUAGGAGACUGCCGGGGUCAACUCGGAGGAAGGUGGGGACGACGUCAAAUCAUCAUGCCCCUUAUGUCUUGGGCUUCACGCAUGCUACAAUGGCCGGUACAAAGGGUUGCGAUACUGUGAGGUGGAGCUAAUCCCAAAAAGCCGGUCUCAGUUCGGAUUGGGGUCUGCAACUCGACCCCAUGAAGUCGGAGUCGCUAGUAAUCACAGAUCAGCAACGCUGCGGUGAAUACGUUCCCGGGCCUUGUACACACCGCCCGUCAAGUCACGAAAGUUGGUAACACCCGAAGCCGGUGGCCUAACCCCUUGUGGGAGGGAGCUGUCGAAGGUGGGACUGGCGAUUGGGACC